RNAcentral lists this transfer RNA (64 nucleotides) under Tenebrionoidea sp. 11 KM-2017. RNAcentral describes it as "tRNA-Pro". The record is from RNAcentral. Lineage: Eukaryota; Metazoa; Arthropoda; Insecta; Coleoptera.
CAAGAAAUAGUUUAUUUAAAAUAUUAAUUUUGGAGAUUAAUGAAGAAUUUUUAUUCUUUCUUGA